CAAAGUCGCCAAUUGUGCGCCAAUUAAGUCUGCCAAUUGUCUAAUAUAGAGACAUUUGAUGAAGAAAACAAUUCAAAACAAGAAGAAAUAAAAUUACGUAGAAAAAAGAUUAUUAAAAAUUAUUAAAAGUAGAUUUAAAAGUAGUGAUAAAAAUGAAAAUUCUAAGUUUUCAUUGAAUACGCACCUACAAAAUUGUCCGUUUGAUGACGCGUUGUUCAGCCUAGCUUUGUUUUGUUUUCUUUUUUUUUGGUUUCGCUUAAAGAUAUCGAAAAUUUCAUUUUCGCAUUUUUUGAUUUUCUUGUCAAACGGAACAUUCCCCUAAAAGAUUUUUGCUUCUAAUAAGUUUUCCAGUUUUUUUUUUUUGUUCUUUAAAGCUAUUUCACAUGUUUUCUGACGUGUUAUUUGUGUGUAUAUUUUUUCACUAUUGCUUGGUUUUUCAAGACUAAAUUUCUUGCUAUAGUUUUUUUUUGUUUUACUUUUGAUCUCAUCAAAAUUUUCACAUAUUUUUGUGGCACCUUUUUUCCACCCCCAAACACCAAAAUCUGCCAGUUUAAUUGAAACAUGUUAGUAAUUUCCGUGUUACUCAAAUGCUUUUAAAACCAUAAAGUACUAAAUAAUUGGGGGAUUUCUUGGUCAAAUUUCCGAGUUUAGUUAGACUCAAAGGAUGGGCUGUGACACCUUCUUGAGAUUAGACAAGUCUGAGUGGGGCUUUUGAGAAAAGAUGAUGUCUGGUGGGCUUUGUCAGGGGGUGGCGUUGACGGUUUGGGGCUCUUUUGGCUGCCUGGCUCCAGAUCGUAGAAAGACAGAGAGAGAGAGAGAGAGAGGGAUUGACUUUAAGGGUUGUCCCGCGUUUUCUCUGAACGGCUUUUUCGAAUUUAUCGCUUCGUUUUUCUUGGUGAUGUAGUUUCAGCAAUACAAGGGCUAUUUCUGACGUUUUUUUUCGCAGUUUUGAACUCUUCCUAAUCUAGUUUUCGGACGGGGACCGUUUUUUUCAGCACUGUUGCAUUGUCCUCGUGCUUUUUUCUGGGGGUUUUGGGGAGUAUUUUUCUUUUGUUCUAGACUUGGGUAGCGGUUUGAUGUGGUUUUUGAGUUUCAGGGUUGCAACAUUUAGAGUGCUUCUGGUCAAGUGGGGUGGGGGUGACUUUGGUCGAAGGGUAGAUGUCUACAAGACACCCUAAUUGUAUUUAUGUUGUGAAUACUAAAAUGGCCAAACUAUCGAUGGUAUUUCAAGUUUCUCCAAGUAAUUUUCAAGUGGCGUCUUCGUCCUCACACCCCGAGAAUCCUUCAAUUUAUUAAAUACAUUGUGAAAUAUUAAUCAAAGUCCACCCUCUUUUCCUCGGUGGAGAGACUUUUGGGCAUGGCGUCUGACGGUGGAAUUGGUUAGAAUUUUGCAAGGGACCUUCAGCAAUUUACCACCCCUUUUGUGCAACCCAUUCAAGGAAUUUCGCAUCAAUUUGUCUACGCAGUGUUUUGCUUCGUUUUUUUUUUUCUUCUUCAAAGAAAAGUAAAUAUAAUUUGUUAAUUUUCAUGCGCUCAGAGACGCUCUUCAAUUGGCGGGAAAUGAUAUGUAAUUCACAUUAUUACUUUUGAUUCCUUUCUGGUCAGCGCGGGAAGGAUGGGAUGAAAACCAGAAGGCCCACCCCUUUUGCAGCACUAUUCGUCCAAAUCUAUUUCCGUUCGAAAUUACUUCAGAUACGGCCAGACCCUCUCCUGAAGAUUGAGAGAUAUUUCAGCAUGAAUUUCCGCCCUUGGAUGGGGUGCUGUGCAAUUUGCUGAGGCUCAAAUGCGGGAAAUCUCAAGACUCCCAAGUGCGGAUCUCGGGGUUUGGGACGCGCAAACAAAGACCUUCUCCAGACUGCGAGGGGACAUGCAACGUUAGUCUUUUUCCUAAUGGCUGGGGCGUCUGAUUUGGGGUGCGGGCCAGGGGGGAAGGUGCGUCCAGGCGGGGGUGCGAGACUCGAGGACAUGUGAGAAAAUGGGGAGAAGGUGAAUGAUAAUCACAACAUCAAAACUUCGCGGUUCAGUCAGGAGUGUGUGUGUGUUUGUGUGCACGGAAAAUUCGAUGGAUGCUCGAGCGGCGAUUUGUUGGGCCGAAAACCGAAAAUAUAGGGGACCAUUGAAGGCCGGUGAAGCAUCAAAAGACAUCACUUUUAUCCGAAAUCUAUGGGCCGAGGAUUUGCUUAUGCUUAAGUAUGAAAUUCCGCUUGGAAGACAACCGAUUGUGAGACGCAAUUUCAAUUAACGUGUACCUUUUUUGGGGGUGUGGGAAAUUACAAAUUAUGUUUUUGCUUUGUCAAAUUUGUCACGAAACGAAAAACCGAUGUGUCUCUAUCCAAAAACGAUACUUUCGGGGUUUUUUUUUGGUUCUUAUUAUGCUUUUCUGGUCCAUAUUGAGAAAUUUUGCUGUGAUUUUUUUUUGGAUAAAAUUUUGGCGGAAGCAAAAGCGAGAUCAGGGAAUUUUUAUACAAGCACUGAGUUGGAUUAAACCACCCCUGGCUAAACCCUAAACCUCGCAGUGGCUCAAAAAUAAAUCUAUGCUUUUCGAUACCAAAUUAUUUCUUCAAUUUGUAAUUUCCCGUCAUUUUUGCUUGAUUUCAAGGGUGAUUUGAAUUUUGCGAGAAAUUUUGCAACUGCCGCUCGAGUGGGUUUUCUUUUUUUUUUCUAACUAUUUUCUAACUACAUCACCGUAUGAAUAUCAUGACUUUUUUUCUAUCAAUAUGGGCAAAAGAUAAGUAUUUUGGCAAAUAUUUUUGCUUUGCAAUGUUAGAAUGCAAUCGGAUUAUAAUUAAAGCUAUAAAAAUAAAAUCCGCACGCAAUAUAAAUUCUGGAAGAGAUAAAAUAGUAUUAGUUUGAGCAUUAAUAAGUUAUAUCAUCACUAAUUAAUUAACGAAACCUAAUUAAACGCUAUUUUUAUUAUUCAACUUUAUUAAAUCUGACCACUUUUCCGUGUAAACUGAAUUUUGGCGGAAUUUUUGUCUUCUAUCUAGAGUGUAAUUUUUUUUUUCACUUUUCUUUUGAUUGUGCACAAUUUUGAGGUUAUGCUCUGGAUAUGAAGAUAUGUCCUAACCUAACAAUUUCUUAAUCCCUUCGAGUCCAUUGAGAAAUUGGAAUUUUCGCCGUGUUUUUGCAUGUUAGUUGGAUGUGCAACAAAAUUCUGUCUAUUUCUUCAUUGUAACAAAUAUAAAUUUUCACACUAUAAAAAUAUCUAUGUUAAAUAUAUUCUUUCCAACUUGCGUAAAUAUGGUUUCUCUCGAAAAUUACUAGCACCAGUCAGUUUCGUGAAGAUUCAUUUGUUCUCUCGUUAAAUUAGGAUGAAUAUUUCAUGUUUUUUCUUGUGGUUUGUUUUUGAAUUUCCACUGCAUCUUUUGAGGUUAGUUUUCGCUGCCCUAUAUAUAUAAUUUAAUCUUCCUUCGAUGUCCCAAUACUUCACUUAAAUCUUAUUGUUUCUCUGUCAUCUCGCGAGAUGGACUGAAAGGGAUUAAGAAUUAUCGUCUAUUUUGCUUCAAUUUCGCUCUGAGUUUUAUGUAUUUUUUUUGGUUUUCCUUUUUUGCGUUCUAAACAGACAAAUUGAAAGUUCUCUAAACAUGAUUUUGCCCCAUUUUGUGAGAAACACUGCCAAAUUAUCGUGGUCAGCAUUUUCUAAUUGAUGGAAUAAUAAAAAUAUCCUCAAUAUUCAUGCAUUUUCAGAUGCUUAAGUAAUAAGAUUCGAGAAUCUCUCAUUUCUAUGUGAUUGUGACGCUUAAUUUUUGAAAUUUCGAUACAUUCCAAAAACAAGCUUUCCCAGGGGUGAAGAAUUUUCAAUUUUGUCUGACAUUUUGUGGGCUCUUUUGAUUGGCUUCUCUGCUCAGGUACAAUUCCACCAAAUAUUUUUUAAUCUGUCGAAAGAGUGUUCUUUUUUGUCAUGUUCAGCUUCCUCUAUCAUUUGGUAUUAAAUUCAAUAGAUUCUGAUUGUGUGGCGUCAUUUAGUCAAAAAGAAGAAAUUGUUGUUGGUAAAAGGUGAAAUGAUAAAUAGUAAAUGCUUAGCAAACGUAGGCUAUGUUUGGUCUGGAGGUUAAACAAUUACAAGCUAGCAAAUGCUAAAAAGUGACUAAAGGCAAGUAAUAUAGGUAAAAGUAUAAAGAGUAAAAAGAUGAUCCUUGCGAGGAUGAUACUUAGCGGAGCACGGCGUGCCCGUGAAUCCUGUGAAGUCUCCGGUGCUGAGCUUUGGCGCGCUUCUGUGAAGGGGAAUUGAGGGCGCUUCCCCUCGUUCUGCACUUCUCCUGCGCUGUGCGUGUUGACUGUGUUGGUGUUCCGGAACUUCUCCUUCGGCUGACUCGAAGACGGCUGCAUAUCUCCUCCCAGGAUACGCUCAUCUUUGCUGGGUGCUUCUUGCUGCUGUGUGAGAAUUUCUCCUCCGAGGUUCGUCUCCUCCGUGGAACCGUGUCCUUCUUCAGGAAAAGAUGCAUUCGUGGUGGUUCUAGUGCGCUGGUGUUGGUGAUUCUGUGGGAAUAUCCUCAUGCAUUCCUUUUCCAUGCUUGUGGGCCGGGAUGUCCGUGUUUCCGAUUUGGUCGUCGCUGGAUAUUUCAGUCGGUGUGUGUGUGUGUGUCCGAGGGUCGGUGAAUUUUCCAUCCUGCUUCCUCCUGGCUGUCCCUUUUGGACUCUGGAUGCUCUGACUUAUCGAUCCAUUUCUCACAUUUUCUCAAUGGUGUCUCUUUGCGUGUCCUCGCAUUUAUCUUUCAAUUUUCUUUGCCUCUCUUCUGUGUGUGAGCACUGUGAACACAAGAUGGCGACUUGUUAGAAUCUUCUUUGCGACUACAUCAAGCCUUAAGUUAAGUUGUGGGGUUGCGUGUGGCUCUCGAGGCCUUCAGCCAAUUAGCUAACAAUUACGACUAAAUUGUUAAAAUGUGCUUAAACUUUAUCAUCCGCUAAAAGUUCACUUUUUGCGCCAAUUCAACUUGUGCUCAACGCAACACUGUUGCGCUCUCGAAUUUUCCGCUUCUGCUUUCGCUUUUUUUUGUCAGAAAAUUAACACAAACUCUUUUAGAGAAUAUCGCGGGAAGUGGUUUUUGCUGUAUUUUUCCAGGUGAAUUUCGAUGUGAAUUUGACCGGAUCCUUGUCUGCAAAGAGAAGAGACGCAGAGGAUUAAGGCACUGAUGGACUAAACUCGGAAAGUGCGUCACACUCACCGCACAACACUAGUCCAAUUAAUUAAUGUAUCAAACUAAAAUGCUGGUCCUUUUGCUCUCUUUCAGAUGAUGAUUCCUUUCGCUGGCUUCCCGGUUAAGGCACACUCAACUGCAAACACUCAACUUUGGAUUGAUGGCCAAUGUCUUGAUUUCCACACUCUGGCACUUGAAUGGUGAAUUUGGGAUAUGAUCGGGUGCGGACUUGAGAUGUUGAACGAGGCAAGGAUCCGAUCAAACUGAUGCUGCUACUCGACUGUCGCAGCCAGCAAACGUUCCAUCCGCAAUUCUCGCCAUCGGCCGCAAACCAGAUCCACCGGUUCGCCCUCCGCUUGGCGUCACACCUGGACCAGAGCCGGGAUGCUGCCGCGAGAUGAAACGGGUUUUUCCAGAUCGCCAGUGACCGUUGUCCAUUCAAUCGCCACCGGUGAAGCUGUGCGAAUCUCCUGACAAUUGAUGAUGAGAUUCAUCAACCGUCCCGUCUCAAGGACUGUGCCCUCUUCCCAUAGCUUCUGGACCAUUCUCCAGUCGUCUUUUGUACUGUGAAAUAUCCAGCUUUGCCAGCUCCAAAUGGAAGCCCAGAGUUUAAUCAUGAGAGUUUGGCAAACAGUAUUAUUUCUUCGGUCCAAACAUAUCGCUUGAAAUGGCCAAAGUUGCAAUCGCUUUGAGAUUUUGUCCACCUUAUUGGAGAGUGCCUUCCAGUGUAAAUGUCCAUCAAUUAAUUCAACGAGAGAAACUUCCCAUUCAUCUUUGUGAUGCGCUAAAGAAGGAGAAAAAUGGCGUAAUCCCAUGGGUAACAAAUGUCUCUUGAAAAUGUAAAUCUUCUUACGGGGCAUAGAGUGGAAAGUUGGGGUGAUUCACCACUGCUUUGGGGCGUGAGAUGAUGGAGUGGGAUCUGGCCAAAAGAAAAGGGUGUUUCUGUGGUUUUCCUUGCUAAAACACACACAGAAACACGCAACCCUUCUGGCCAGGAAGACACAUUUCGGCCAUAAGAGAGAAUACAAUGAAUUGGGGAUGUCAUCUUGGCCAAUUUGUAAUAGAGGCAAAACCCAUGGAGCCGAGAGGGAUCCCAGAAUCGCCACAGUUGAAUCUGUAUCUCGUGUGUGAUAUCAUAAUCCUUAUAGAUGGUUUGUAAACACCAAAUAAAAGUCCUCCCACUGGGAUAUUCAGUUAUCAUCCCUUCUCCACCAUAUUUGCUGUGUUAUUUUGCAUGUCUUGCCAAAGGGACAUAUGCACGGAAACAUGCUCCAUCGCACUGUGAGAAAGUGAGAAAAUUUUCUCCGUCCGUGUGCAAUUUGGGGCCCUUUUCCCACGACUCAAUUCACCGAGUUGACGAUAUACAAGCAAUUCUCACAUUUGUAUGCUUGUUAUUUGGAAAUACAAUAUAAUAAUAAAUAUAGCAAUUGUCGAGGAGAAUGGAAAAUGGACGACGAAACAAUAAAC
Phlebotomus argentipes is the source of this 6605-nucleotide long non-coding RNA. RefSeq lists it as uncharacterized. The transcript has 3 exons. The record is from RefSeq and is a predicted model, not a curated record. Lineage: Eukaryota; Metazoa; Arthropoda; Insecta; Diptera; Psychodidae.